GAUCAUGGCUCAGGACGAACGCUGGCGGCGUGCUUAACACAUGCAAGUCGAACGAGAUGAUUUAGAAGCUUGCUUUUAGAGAAUCUAGUGGCAAACGGGUGAGUAACACGUAGACAACCUGCCGACAGGAUGGGGACAACAUUCCGAAAGGAAUGCUAAUACCGAAUGAAGUCAGAGGAGGGCAUCCUCCUCUGAUGAAAGAUGGCCUCUAUUUAUAAGCUAUC
RNAcentral lists this ribosomal RNA (224 nucleotides) under uncultured bacterium. RNAcentral's name for it is "partial 16S ribosomal RNA". It matches the Rfam family "Bacterial small subunit ribosomal RNA", at positions 15 to 216 of the family's 1533-position model. The record is from RNAcentral.